GAUUAACGCUGGCGGCGUGCCUAACACAUGCAAGUCGAACGAGGUAGCAAUACCUAGUGGCAGACGGGUGAGUAACGCGUGGUCAACCUACCGUUGAGUGGGGGAUAACUAGCCGAAAGGUUAGCUAAUACCGCAUACGUCUCCGAGUGGCAUCACUUGGCGAUAAAAGGAAGCAAUCCGCUCGAUGACGGGACCGCGUCCCAUUAGCUAGAUGGUGGGGUAACGGCCUACCAUGGCACCGAUGGGUUAGCUGGUUUGUAGAGAGCGACCAGCCACACUGGGACUGAGAAACGGCCCAGACUCCUACGGGAGGCAGCAGUGAGGAAUUUUCCGCAAUGGGC
This 341-nucleotide ribosomal RNA is filed under the name uncultured bacterium. Its description in RNAcentral is "bacterial SSU rRNA". It matches the Rfam family "Bacterial small subunit ribosomal RNA", at positions 28 to 376 of the family's 1533-position model. The record is from RNAcentral.